This 468-nucleotide ribosomal RNA is filed under the name uncultured bacterium. Its description in RNAcentral is "partial 16S ribosomal RNA". It matches the Rfam family "Bacterial small subunit ribosomal RNA", at positions 28 to 507 of the family's 1533-position model. The record is from RNAcentral.
GACGAACGCUGGCGGCGUGCUUAACACAUGCAAGUCGAACGGAAAGGCCCUGCCUUGGUGGGGUGCUCGAGUGGCGAACGGGUGAGUAACACGUGGGUAACCUGCCCUUGACUUUGGGAUAAGCUAAGGAAACUGGGUCUAAUACCGGAUAGGAGCUACUGCUGCAUGGUGGGGGCGGGAAAGUUUCGGUGGUUGGGGAUGGACUCGCGGCUUAUCAGCUUGUUGGUGUGGUAGUGGCCUAGCAAGGCAAGGAACGGUAGCAUGGCUGAUCGGGGGACCUGACACAUCGGGACUGGGAUACGGCCCAGACUCCUACGGGAGGCAGCGGAGGGGUAGAUUGUACAAGGGGCUGAAGCCUGAUGCAGCCACGCCGCGUGGGGGAUGACGGCCUUCGGUUUGUAUACCGCUUUCGCUUUAGACGAAGCGAUAGUGACGGUACCGGGAGAAUAAGCACCGGCUAACUACGUG